GGGGCCAUAGCUCAGCUGGGAGAGCGCGUCGUUCGCAAUGACGAGGUCGGCGGUUCGAUCCCGCCUGGCUCCA
Pseudorhodoplanes sinuspersici is the source of this 73-nucleotide transfer RNA. It matches the Rfam family "tRNA". From Rfam's summary of the family: Transfer RNA (tRNA) molecules are approximately 80 nucleotides in length. Their secondary structure includes four short double-helical elements and three loops (D, anti-codon, and T loops). Further hydrogen bonds mediate the characteristic L-shaped molecular structure. tRNAs have two regions of fundamental functional importance: the anti-codon, which is responsible for specific mRNA codon recognition, and the 3' end, to which the tRNAs corresponding amino acid is attached (by aminoacyl-tRNA synthetases). tRNAs cope with the degeneracy of the genetic code in two manners: having more than one tRNA (with a specific anti-codon) for a particular amino acid; and 'wobble' base-pairing, i.e. permitting non-standard base-pairing at the 3rd anti-codon position. The record is from Rfam. Lineage: Bacteria; Pseudomonadati; Pseudomonadota; Alphaproteobacteria; Hyphomicrobiales.